UUCGAGUGGCGGACGGUGAGUAACGCGUGGGUAACCUGCCUUACACAGGGGGAUAACACCUGGAAACAGGUGCUAAUACCGCAUAAGCGCACAGGGCCGCAUGGCCCGGUGUGAAAAACUCCGGUGGUGUAAGAUGGACCCGCGUCUGAUUAGCUUGUUGGCGGGGUAGGGGCCCACCAAGGCGACGAUCAGUAGCCGGCCUGAGAGGGUGGACGGCCACAUUGGGACUGAGACACGGCCCAAACUCCUACGGAAGGCAGCAG
This 263-nucleotide ribosomal RNA is filed under the name uncultured bacterium. RNAcentral describes it as "partial 16S ribosomal RNA". It matches the Rfam family "Bacterial small subunit ribosomal RNA", at positions 90 to 354 of the family's 1533-position model. The record is from RNAcentral.